This 71-nucleotide transfer RNA is filed under the name Actinomycetes bacterium. RNAcentral's name for it is "Actinobacteria bacterium tRNA-Cys". It matches the Rfam family "tRNA". From Rfam's summary of the family: Transfer RNA (tRNA) molecules are approximately 80 nucleotides in length. The record is from RNAcentral. Lineage: Bacteria; Bacillati; Actinomycetota; Actinomycetes.
GACACCGUGGCCGAGUGGCGAGGCGCGCGCCUGCAAAGUGCACAGACGGCGGUUCGAAUUGCCCGGUGUCU